Molecule: ribosomal RNA, 497 nt
Filed under: uncultured bacterium
Lineage: Bacteria
Description: partial 16S ribosomal RNA
Rfam family: Bacterial small subunit ribosomal RNA
Source: RNAcentral
GAUGAACGCUGGCGGCGUGCCUAAUACAUGCAAGUCGAGCGAACAGACGAGGAGCUUGCUCCUCUGACGUUAGCGGCGGACGGGUGAGUAACACGUGGAUAACCUACCUAUAAGACUGGGAUAACUUCGGGAAACCGGAGCUAAUACCGGAUAAUAUAUUGAACCGCAUGGUUCAAUAGUGAAAGCCGGUUUUGCUGUCACUUCUAGCUGGAUCCGCGCCGCAUUAGCUAGUUGGUAAGGUAACGGCUUACCAAGGCAACGAUGCGUAGCCGACCUGAGAGGGGGAUCGGCCACACUGGAACGGAGACACGGUCCAGACUCCUACGGGAGGCAGCAGUAGGGAAUCUUCCGCAAUGGGCGAAAGCCUGACGGAGCAACGCCGCGUGAGGGAUGAAGGUCUUCGGAUCGUAAAACUCUGUUAUUAGGGAAGAACAAAUGUGUAAGUAACUAUGCACGUCUUGACGGUACCUAAUCAGAAAGCCACGGCUAACUACGUG